This 253-nucleotide ribosomal RNA is filed under the name uncultured bacterium. RNAcentral's name for it is "partial 16S ribosomal RNA". It matches the Rfam family "Bacterial small subunit ribosomal RNA", at positions 524 to 776 of the family's 1533-position model. The record is from RNAcentral.
UACGUAGGGGGCAAGCGUUGUCCGGAUUCAUUGGGCGUAAAGAGCGUGUAGGCGGCCAGGUAGGUCGGUUGUGAAAACUGGAGGCUCAACCUUCAGAGGUCGACCGAAACCAUCUGGCUAGAGUCCGGGAGAGGAGAGUGGAAUUCCUGGUGUAGCGGUGGAAUACGUAGAGAUUGGGAAGAACACCAGUGGCGAAGGCGGCUAUCUGGACGGUUACUGACGCUAAGACUCGAAAGCGUGGGGAGCAAACAGG